This 253-nucleotide unclassified non-coding RNA is filed under the name uncultured delta proteobacterium. RNAcentral's name for it is "contains 16S-23S intergenic spacer region". It matches the Rfam family "Bacterial small subunit ribosomal RNA", at positions 524 to 776 of the family's 1533-position model. Lineage: Bacteria; Deltaproteobacteria. The record is from RNAcentral.
UACGGAGGGUGCAAGCGUUGUUCGGAAUCACUGGGCGUAAAGCGGGUGUAGGCGGCCGGCCGUGUCGAGUGUGAAAGCCCUCGGCUCAACCGAGGAAGUGCGCUCGAAACUGGCUGGCUUGAGUACGGGAGAGGAAGGCGGAAUUCCGGGUGUAGAGGUGAAAUUCGUAGAUAUCCGGAGGAACACCAGUGGCGAAGGCGGCCUUCUGGACCGAUACUGACGCUGAGACCCGAAAGCGUGGGGAGCAAACAGG